Non-coding RNA from Pelobates cultripes (western spadefoot toad), 686 nucleotides. NCBI's taxonomy places the organism in Eukaryota, Metazoa, Chordata, Amphibia, Anura, Pelobatidae. The record is from the annotation of a GenBank genome assembly.
GUGCUUGGCUAGGGACACGGAUCCCGUUUCAGCGCCCAUAGCAGCAAUUCUUCAAUUCCUCACAUCUCUGUUUGAAACUGGCCGGGCCUACCGAACAAUAAAUGUAUACAGGUCAGCCAUUUCUUCGGCCCAUCAGGGUUUCGAGGGUUGUCUGGUAAGACAACUUCAUCUAGUUCCCGCUUAUCUUGCCCACCUAGACCACGAUACUCCUCUACAUGGGAUGUCUCCUUGGUGCUAUCACUGUUUGCCUCGUGGCCAUCUAAUGCAGACCUUUCCUUGCGCCAAUUAUCGGCAAAAUUGGUCACACUGCUUUGCCUGGAAUCCUGUAAGAGGGUUUCGGAUGUUCGUGCCUUCGAUUUCGACGCUCGCUCCUUCACUCCCGACGGGUUGACUUAUAAUAUAUCCAGCCACACGAAGACUUCAAUUCGAUUGGUUUCUAAUCCGGCCUUCCCUUCGGCUCCAGCAUUGUGCCCGGUAGCUUGUUUACGGGCGGGAAUAUGAGAUUCGCACUGAGCCGCAUCGUUAGCCAUCUAGGCCUCAUAUUUUUCUAUCCCCGGUGACGAAUACUACCAUGGCUCGUUGGUUGAAAUAGGUGUUGCAACAGGCGGGUGUUUGGAGCCCUUUCUGUGCGGGUGCUUCAGCCUCGUCGAUGAUGACCUUGGGAACGCGGUUGGAUGACAUGAUGA